This is a long non-coding RNA of Talpa occidentalis (Iberian mole), 557 nucleotides long. RefSeq lists it as uncharacterized. Lineage: Eukaryota; Metazoa; Chordata; Mammalia; Eulipotyphla; Talpidae. The transcript is spliced from 3 exons. The record is from RefSeq and is a predicted model, not a curated record.
CUUACAUUUUAUCUUCUUUUGUUGAAGAAGAGUUACCAAGAAUGAUUACAAUUUAUCGAUCAAAAUGUCACAUUUAAGUAGUGACAUGGCAAAAUGUCAUGGCCAUGAUGGAACCGUAAUUCAAAUCCUCCUCUCUAGAGGAAAUUAAAGAAAAUAUUUUAUGUACAGUAGCAAUCUUUCCAGUGUGGUAGAGCAAGAAAUGCACAUGAGAUUAAAGACUACACUCAGGAGUGGGUCAUAAGAAUGCAAUAAAUAAAUCUAUUUAGCAACGAAGUUAUUUCCAGCAGAGUGGAGAAGGAAAAGAGAAUUCACCAGGAAAACUCCCUGAACCAGGAGGGUCAGGAAUGAGACUGAGAAGAGGAACAUCUCUGAGGUUGAUUCUUCCCAAGGACUAUCCCAAACAGAUGACAAACACACAGGCUGCAUGGCAGGGAGGCGAGCUGCAGAAGAGCAUCGAUGGAAACUGAGAGAGAUGACAUGAAACAGAACUUCCCAAGAAAGACUCCAUUACUGUACAGUCACAACAUGUCCAGACAAAACAAAGAGAAAAACCUGUC